AUCGCUCUGAAAGACAAGAUGGUUGUAUCACGAAAGGAUGUUUCUAGCUCAUGAAGCAAAAGGUGUAAAUUUACUCAAUAUAAAGAAUGUUAUGGUCAAAAAAGGCAAGAAAUAUGAAAUCCAGAAGCUACAAUUUGUAGAAUAACAGCAGAAAAGAUCACAUGUUUUCUAUUGAUGUGACAAUCAAGAAUACGAAAAAGAGAGUAGAAGAGAGAUAUCAAAUUGAAAGUAGCAACAAAAAUAAAAAUGAAAAUAAACUAGAUUAGAAAUACACUUUACAUCGACAGAUAUCAAUAAAAUAUAAAUUGAUAUUAAUCAUUUCAUAGAAAUGAGCUAUAUCUGUAUUAAAUCUACCCUCAGCAUUGCAAUAAAAGCUGACUUGAAACAUGCUUCUUUGAUAUAAUUUGUUUUGUUCAUUCACUGGAUAGGCUGUGAUAAGUUUUCCUUCUAAAUCUGUUACCACUUUGAUUCUGGCAUGGAAGGCCACUCUUACUAUUUAUUCCCACUGAACUUUUUUUUCAGUGGCUUGUAAAAUUCAGGCUGAGAAUAAAAACAAAUAAAAUCUGAUACACAAUUUUUCAAAAACUGCGCGCAAACCGGCACACAAUCAGUGAUUAAUGAUUUAUACGUUUAAUUUAUAAAGAUAAUGAUAAUCCAAAAUGAUGAACCAAUAGAAAUCGUUUGCUAAUACCUAAUAGCUAUAAAGUAAUGAAACAAAGUUAUAUAGAAUUGUAUCGAAUUCAAAUCCUUUUCUUCAACAUAAAUCUCACAUCAUAAAUCAUAAGUUGUUUUCUAUUUCAUCUAUUUUCCCGAAAAUCGUGAUUUACCUUCUCAAUUGAUUGGGUAGGCCGUCACCAAACUUCCAUUGUUUCUAUGUGUCAUGACUUUUACUUUGAAACAGGGUCUAUUUGAGUACCCUUGGAAUCCAAUCGGGUAAGAAUAUCGAUGGCUGAUGUACUCCCAACUAGAAAUUAAAUAGUUAAUGAUUACAUCUAUUUUCCCGAAAAUCGUAAUUUACCUUCUCAAUCGAUUGGGGAGGUCGUCACCAAUCUUCCACUAGCUAUAUGAACUACAACUUUAACUUUAUAACACAGUGUUCUUCAUUGAUACCAAUCGGGUAGGAAUAUCGAUGGCUUUAUGUACAACCAACUAGAAAUUCAAAGGUA
Molecule: long non-coding RNA, 1166 nt
Organism: Exaiptasia diaphana
Lineage: Eukaryota; Metazoa; Cnidaria; Anthozoa; Actiniaria; Aiptasiidae
Exons: 3
Source: RefSeq, a predicted model, not a curated record